UCGUUCUCCCCGAAAUAGCUUUAGGGCUAGCGUCGCGCGUUCACCGCCGGAGGUAGAGCACCGGAUGGACGAGGGGGCUUCGCCGCCUACCGAAUCCAACCGAACUCCGAAUGCCGGCGGCCCAGAGCGCGGCAGUCAGAGCAUGUGGGCUAAGCUGUGUGCUCGAGAGGGAAACAGCCCGGACCGCCCGCUAAGGUCCCCAAGUUCCAGCCGAGUGGCAAAGGAUGUGCGUCCGCCCAGACAACCAGGAUGUUGGCUUAGAAGCAGCCAUCCAUUCAAAGAGUGCGUAACAGCUCACUGGUCGAGUGGACAUGCGCCGACAAUACACGGGGCUAAGCUGGACACCGAAGCGGCGGGAUUUUAAUUCAUUAGAAUCGGUAGGGGAGCUUCCCAUGGGCGGAGAAGCCGGAGGGCGACCGACGGUGGAGCGCAUGGGAGUGAGAAUGCUGGCAUGAGUAGCGAGAGACGAGAGAGUAACUCGUCCGCCGUGAACCCGAGGUUUCCUGGGCAAGGCUAAUCCUCCCAGGGUCAGUCGGGGGCUAAGGCGAGGCCGGGAGGCGUAGCCGACGCGCAGCAGGCAGACAUUCCUGCACCGCGCACGCGGCGCUACGACCGACGGGGCGACGGAUGGGGGUGGCUCGGCGGGGUUCUGGACGUCCCCGUGAUGGAGCGCGGCCCGCGGACCAGGGAAAUCCGGUCCGCAGAAGGGCGAGGCUCCGGACGAAGCACUUAAGCGAAGCGAGUGAGCCCGAGGUCCCUAGAAAAACCCCUAGGCAGGCGCGUGCGCGCCCGUACCGCAAACCGACACAGGUGGGUGGGUAGAACAUACCGAGGCGAUCGGGUCAACCAUGGUCAAGGAACUCGGCACAAUGGCCCCGUAACUUCGGGAGAAGGGGUGCCCGCGCGUACGUGAACCGGCUCGCCCGGGGAGCGGAGGCGGGCCGCAGUGGAGAGGCCCAAGCGACUGUUUACCAAAAACACAGGACUCUGCAGAAGCCGCAAGGCGACGUAUAGGGUCUGACGCCUGCCCGGUGCCGGAAGGUCACGCGGAGGGGUUAGCCGCAAGCGCGAAGCCCCGAAGCCAAGCCCCGGUAAACGGCGGCCGUAACUAUAACGGUCCUAAGGUAGCGAAAUUCCUUGUCGGGUAAGUUCCGACCUGCACGAAAGGCGCAACGACUUGGGCGCUGUCUCGACCAUGGACCCGGUGAAAUUGCACUGGUCGUGAAGAUGCGACUUACCCGCGGAAGGACGGAAAGACCCCGUGAACCUUCACUGCAGCUUGGCAUUGGCCGCUGGUCCCGCGUGUAGAGGAUAGGCAGGAGGCAUCGAUCCGGAGGCGCCAGCCCCCGGGGAGCCGCCCUUGGAAUACUGCCCUCGCGCGACCGGCGUCCUAACCCGAGGCCGUCAACCGGCUCGGGGACCGUGCCAGGCGGGCAGUUUGACUGGGGCGGUCGCCUCCUAAAGGGUAACGGAGGCGCGCGAAGGUCCGCUCGGGACGGUCGGCAACCGUCCUUUUGAAUGCAAGAGUACAAGCGGGCUUGACUGCGAGGCCCACAAGCCGAGCAGGUGCGAAAGCAGGCUCUAGUGAUCCGGCGGCCCCGAGUGGGUGGGCCGUCGCUCAACGGAUAAAAGGUACUCCGGGGAUAACAGGCUGAUCUUGCCCAAGAGUCCACAUCGACGGCAAGGUUUGGCACCUCGAUGUCGGCUCAUCGCAUCCUGGGGCUGGAGCAGGUCCCAAGGGUACGGCUGUUCGCCGUUUAAAGCGGUACGCGAGCUGGGUUCAGAACGUCGUGAGACAGUUCGGUCCCUAUCCUCCGUGGGCGCAGGAGAAUCGAUGGAGGCUGCCCCCAGUACGAGAGGACCGGGGUGGACGCACCUCCGGUGAACCGGUUGUCGACCAACGGCACGGCCGGGUAGCCGCGUGCGGCGCGGAUAACCGCUGAAGGCAUCUAAGCGGGAAGCCGUUCCAGGGAUUAGUUCU
RNAcentral lists this ribosomal RNA (1981 nucleotides) under human gut metagenome. RNAcentral describes it as "bacterial LSU rRNA". It matches the Rfam family "Bacterial large subunit ribosomal RNA", at positions 850 to 2812 of the family's 2925-position model. The record is from RNAcentral.